Molecule: long non-coding RNA, 803 nt
Filed under: Ananas comosus (pineapple)
Lineage: Eukaryota; Viridiplantae; Streptophyta; Magnoliopsida; Poales; Bromeliaceae
Description: long non-coding RNA (ACOM_LNC002767)
Source: RNAcentral
UUUUUUUUAAUUCAAUUUAAUUUUCUCUUUUCAUAUUGAAGAAAAAAAUUUAUAAUUUUUUUUUAAGUUUACUCCAAUUUUUUAUUUUUUUAUAAAAAUUUAAAAUAUAUAAAUAAUUUUUAAAUAGUUUAAAUUAUUUGUAUUAAAUAUAACUUUUAAUUUUAUAAUAUUAAGUAUUUAGAUAUAGAUUGUACAUUAAGAAAUAAAAGAAAGAUUGAUAGAGUUUAAGUUAAUUUUACCAUCGACCUACUCAAAUUUAAUAUAUCGAAGAACGACGCACUCAGAUUUUUAAAGUCGGAAUAUCAUUUACUGACUGAAAUCUAAUAUAUCGAAAAAUUAGAUAAUCAAAAUAAAAUUUAAUUUGAAGGAUUGGAUUUUAAAAAAAAUUAUAGAAUCAUUUCAAUCAGGAACGUGGCAACUUGCUUUUUCUAAAUAUUUAAAAUUAAAUAUUUAAAUUUAAAAUUGAGUGAGUUUAGAGUUUAUCCCUAAUUUUUUCUAUGAUAUGGUUUGAUAUUUUUAUCCCACUUUUAUUAUACUGUUAUGAUUUUGGAGAGAUAUAUUUGUGAUGGUAAAAUUAAAAGUAUAAAUAGUUGAAAAUAUUAUAUUGUUAUGAUUUAUCCCUAAAUCUGUAGAAGUAUUAUUUUUAUAUUUUAUUACAGCAAUAGUUGCUUAUUUUUCAAUUACUUUUUUUUAAUAUAAUUCUUUAACUUUUUUUUUUGUUAUUUUUUAUUUUAUUUAUAUAUUUAUUUUUACGGAAUAAUUCGGUCGCAACGCGCGGGUCCUUCACUAGUUAUUAUGAUACU